GCCAGGCACAGUGGCGCAUGCCUGUAAUCCCAGUGGCUCUGGAGGCUGAGGCAGGAGGAUCGUGAAUUCAAAGCCAGCCUCAGUAAAAGUGAAGUGCUAAGCAACUCAGUGAGACCCUGUCUCUA
Molecule: small RNA, 125 nt
Filed under: Marmota monax (woodchuck)
Lineage: Eukaryota; Metazoa; Chordata; Mammalia; Rodentia; Sciuridae
Source: RNAcentral